UACGUAGGGGGCUAGCGUUGUCCGGAUUUAUUGGGCGUAAAGAGCGUGUAGGCGGCCAGGUAGGUCUGCUGUGAAAACUCGAGGCUCAACCUCGAGACGUCGGCGGAAACCCUCCAGCUAGAGUCCGGAAGAGGAGAGUGGAAUUCCUGGUGUAGCGGUGAAAUGCGCAGAUAUCAGGAAGAACACCCGUGGCGAAGGCGGCUCUCUGGGACGGUACUGACGCUGAGACGCGAAAGCGUGGGGAGCGAACAGG
Molecule: ribosomal RNA, 253 nt
Filed under: uncultured bacterium
Lineage: Bacteria
Description: partial 16S ribosomal RNA
Rfam family: Bacterial small subunit ribosomal RNA
Source: RNAcentral